GUAGAGGAUGCUAUUGGGUAGCCACCGGUCUAAGUCCCCUGGAACGGGGCGUCGCAGAGGGUGAGAAUCCCGUAUGUGACCGGAAGGGCGCCCUCCACAUAGCUCCUUCGACGAGUCGAGUUGUUUGGGAAUGCAGCUCUAAAUGGGAGGUAAAUUCCUUCUAAAGCUAAAUACCGGCCAGAGACCGAUAGCGCACAAGUAGAGUGAUCGAAAGAUGAAAAGCACUUUGGAAAGAGAGUUAAAAAGCACGUGAAAUUGUUGAAAGGGAAGCGCUUGCAACCAGACUUGUUGGCGGUGUUCCGCCGGUCUUCUGACCGGUGUACUCACCGUCUGCAGGCCAGCAUCAUCUGGGGCCGCCGGAUAAAAGCGGGGGGAAUGUGGCUCUUCCGGGAGUGUUAUAGCCCCUCGUGCAAUACGGCGUGCCUCGGGUGAGGUCCGCGCUUCGGCUAGGAUGCUGGCGUAAUGGUCGUAAGCGGCCCGUCUUGAAACACGGACCAAGGAGUCUAACAUCUAUGCGAGUGUUCGGGUGCCAAACCCCUACGCGUAAUGAAAGUGAACGGAGGUGGGAGCCUUAGGGUGCACCAUCGACCGAUCCUGAUGUCUUCGGAUGGAUUUGAGUAAGAGCAUAGCUGUUGGGACCCGAAAGAUGGUGAACUAUGCCUGGAUAGGGUGAAGCCAGAGGAAACUCUGGUGGAGGCUCGCAGCGGUUCUGACGUGCAAAUCGAUCGUCAAAUUUGGGUAUAGGGGCGAAAGACUAAUCG
RNAcentral lists this ribosomal RNA (761 nucleotides) under Dothideomycetes sp. TRN450. RNAcentral describes it as "eukaryotic LSU rRNA". It matches the Rfam family "Eukaryotic large subunit ribosomal RNA", at positions 151 to 937 of the family's 3401-position model. Lineage: Eukaryota; Fungi; Ascomycota; Dothideomycetes. The record is from RNAcentral.